Molecule: ribosomal RNA, 581 nt
Filed under: uncultured Rikenellaceae bacterium
Lineage: Bacteria; Pseudomonadati; Bacteroidota; Bacteroidia; Bacteroidales; Rikenellaceae
Description: bacterial SSU rRNA
Rfam family: Bacterial small subunit ribosomal RNA
Source: RNAcentral
AGAGUUUGAUCAUGGCUCAGGAUGAACGCUAGCGGCAGGCUUAACACAUGCAAGUCGAGGGGCAGCGUGAAGAAGUAGCAAUACGGAUUUGACGGCGACCGGCGCACGGGUGCGUAACGCGUAUGUAACCUACCUUUAACAGGGGGAUAACACUGAGAAAUUGGUACUAAUACCCCAUAAUACUUUAGGAGGCAUCUCCUUUGGUUGAAAGUUCCGGCGGUUAAAGAUGGACAUGCGUUGUAUUAGCUAGAUGGUGAGGUAACGGCUCACCAUGGCGACGAUACAUAGGGGGACUGAGAGGUUAACCCCCCACACUGGUACUGAGACACGGACCAGACUCCUACGGGAGGCAGCAGUGAGGAAUAUUGGUCAAUGGACGCAAGUCUGAACCAGCCAUGCCGCGUGCAGGAAGACGGCUCUAUGAGUUGUAAACUGCUUUUGWACAAGGGUAAACCCUGGGACGUGUCCCAGGCUGAAAGUACUGUACGAAUAAGGAUCGGCUAACUCCGUGCCAGCAGCCGCGGUAAUACGGAGGAUGCGAGCGUUAUCCGGAUUUAUUGGGUUUAAAGGGAGCGUAGGCG